AUAAACGCUGGCGGCGUGCCUAACACAUGCAAGUCGAGCGAGAAAGGUCUUCGGACUGAGUAAAGCGGCGAACGGGUGAGUAACGCGUGGGAAUCUACCUUUUAGUGAGGAAUACCUCCGAGAAAUCGGAGUUAAUACUGCAUACGUCCCUACGGGGAGAAAGAUGGCCUCUUUGCUGUCGCUAAAAGAUGAGCCCGCGUACUAUUAGCUAGUUGGUGAGGUAAUGGCUCACCAAGGCAAAGAUGGUUAGCCGGCCUGAGAGGGUGUACGGCCACACUGGAACUUAGACACGGUCCAGACUCCUACGGGAGGCAGCAGUGGGGAAUCUUGCACAAUGGGCGAAAGCCUGAUGCAGCGACGCCGCGUGGAGGAUGAAGGUCUUCGGAUUGUAAACUUCUGUUAAGUGGGACGAAAUAGCUCCUGGGAAUAUCAGGAGAAGAUGACGGUACCAUUAGAGAAAGCACCGGCUAACUUCGU
RNAcentral lists this ribosomal RNA (477 nucleotides) under uncultured bacterium. RNAcentral describes it as "bacterial SSU rRNA". It matches the Rfam family "Bacterial small subunit ribosomal RNA", at positions 29 to 506 of the family's 1533-position model. The record is from RNAcentral.